This is a non-coding RNA of Gossypium raimondii (Peruvian cotton), 115 nucleotides long. The record is from Rfam. Lineage: Eukaryota; Viridiplantae; Streptophyta; Magnoliopsida; Malvales; Malvaceae.
AAUGACAAAUCAGAUUUUUCUUCUUAAUUUUCAGCUUUUUCCUCUUGAAAAAAUUUAGAUCCAACUAAAAAUGCUAAAAAUAAGGAGGAAAAAUCUGAUUUGUCAGAAAGUAGUU